AGCCGAGCCUCCCGCCGUCGCCAUGGGCCAGAACGACCUGAUGGGCACGGCCGAGGACUUCGCCGACCAGUUCCUCCGUGUCACAAAGCAGUACCUGCCCCACGUGGCGCGCCUCUGUCUGAUCAGCACCUUCCUGGAGGACGGCAUCCGUAUGUGGUUCCAGUGGAGCGAGCAGCGCGACUACAUCGACACCACCUGGAACUGCGGCUACCUGCUGGCCUCGUCCUUCGUCUUCCUCAACUUGCUGGGACAGCUGAACGAUUGCCUACAGCAUUUUAUGGGACUUGAAGUUUUUGAUGAGGAACCUGGCCCUGGGAGGAGGCCUGUUGCUGCUCCUAGCAGAAUCCCGUUCUGAAGGGAAGAGCAUGUUUGCGGGCGUCCCCACCAUGCGUGAGAGCUCCCCCAAACAGUACAUGCAGCUCGGAGGCAGGGUCUUGCUGGUUCUGAUGUUCAUGACCCUCCUUCACUUUGACGCCAGCUUCUUUUCUAUUGUCCAGAACAUCGUGGGCACAGCUCUGAUGAUUUUAGUGGCCAUUGGUUUUAAAACCAAGCUGGCUGCUUUGACUCUUGUUGUGUGGCUCUUUGCCAUCAACGUAUAUUUCAACGCCUUCUGGACCAUUCCAGUCUACAAGCCCAUGCAUGACUUCCUGAAAUACGACUUCUUCCAGACCAUGUCGGUGAUCGGGGGCUUGC
This 693-nucleotide small RNA is filed under the name Pan troglodytes (chimpanzee). RNAcentral's name for it is "processed transcript". Lineage: Eukaryota; Metazoa; Chordata; Mammalia; Primates; Hominidae. The record is from RNAcentral.